AACGAACGCUGGCGGCAGGCCUAACACAUGCAAGUCGAGCGAACCCUUCGGGGUUAGCGGCGGACGGGUUAGUAACGCGUGGGAAUAUACCCCUUGGUACGGAAUAGCCUCGGGAAACUGAGAGUAAUACCGUAUGUGCCCUUCGGGGGAAAGAUUUAUCGCCAAAGGAUUAGCCCGCGUUGGAUUAGAUAAUUGGUGGGGUAAUGGCCUACCAAGUCUACGAUCCAUAGCUGGUUUGAGAGGAUGAUCAGCAACACUGGGACUGAGACACGGCCCAGACUCCUACGGGAGGCAGCAGUGGGGAAUCUUAGACAAUGGGCGCAAGCCUGAUCUAGCCAUGCCGCGUGGACGAUGAAGGCCUUAGGGGUUGUAAAGUCCUUUCAGAUGGGAAGAUAAUGACGGUACCAUCAGAAGAAGCCCCGGCUAACUCCGUG
Molecule: ribosomal RNA, 434 nt
Filed under: uncultured bacterium
Lineage: Bacteria
Description: bacterial SSU rRNA
Rfam family: Bacterial small subunit ribosomal RNA
Source: RNAcentral